CUAACUCCGUGUCCAGCUAGCCGCGGUAAUACGGAGGGUGCGAGCGUUAAUCGGAAUUACUGGGCGUAAAAGCGCAUGCAGGUGGUUUGUUAAGUCAGAUGUGAAAGCCCGGGGCUCAACCUCGGAAUUGCAUUUGAAACUGGCAAACUAGAGUACUGUAGAGGGGGUAGAAUUUCAGGUGUAGCGGUGAAAUGCGUAGAGAUCUGAAGGAAUACCGGUGGCGAAGGCGGCCCCCUGGACAGAUACUGACACUCAGAUGCGAAAGCGUGGGGAGCAAACAGGAUUAGAUACCCUGGUAG
Molecule: ribosomal RNA, 299 nt
Filed under: uncultured bacterium
Lineage: Bacteria
Description: partial 16S ribosomal RNA
Rfam family: Bacterial small subunit ribosomal RNA
Source: RNAcentral